AUUGAACGCUGGCGGAAUGCUUUACACAUGCAAGUCGAACGGCAGCACGGGGCAACCUGGUGGCGAGUGGCGAACGGGUGAGUAAUACAUCGGAACGUGCCCAAUCGUGGGGGAUAACGUAGCGAAAGUUACGCUAAUACCGCAUACGAUCUACGGAUGAAAGCGGGGGAUCGCAAGACCUCGCGCGAAUGGAGCGGCCGAUGUCAGAUUAGGUAGUUGGUGGGGUAAAGGCUCACCAAGCCAACGAUCUGUAGCUGGUCUGAGAGGACGACCAGCCACACUGGAACUGAGACACGGUCCAGACUCCUACGGGAGGCAGCAGUGGGGAAUUUUGGACAAUGGGGGCAACCCUGAUCCAGCCAUGCCGCGUGAGUGAAGAAGGCCUUCGGGUUGUAAAGCUCUUUCGGCCGGGAAGAAAUCGCAUGGGUUAAUACCCUGUGUGGAUGACGGUACCGGAAUAAGAAGCACCGGCUAACUACGUG
Molecule: ribosomal RNA, 482 nt
Filed under: uncultured bacterium
Lineage: Bacteria
Description: bacterial SSU rRNA
Rfam family: Bacterial small subunit ribosomal RNA
Source: RNAcentral